RNAcentral lists this ribosomal RNA (381 nucleotides) under uncultured bacterium. RNAcentral's name for it is "bacterial SSU rRNA". It matches the Rfam family "Bacterial small subunit ribosomal RNA", at positions 28 to 412 of the family's 1533-position model. The record is from RNAcentral.
GACGAACGCUGGCGGCGUGCUUAACACAUGCAAGUCGAGCGGUAAGGCCCUUUUGGGGGUACACGAGCGGCGAACGGGUGAGUAACACGUGGGUGACCUGCCCUCAGCUCUGGGAUAAGCCUGGGAAACUGGGUCUAAUACUGGAUAUGACCUUUCCUCGCAUGGGGUUGGGUGGAAAGUUUUUCGGCUGGGGGAUGGGCCCGCGGCCUAUCAGCUUGUUGGUGGGGUGAUGGCCUACCAAGGCGACGACGGGUAGCCGGCCUGAGAGGGCGACCGGCCACACUGGGACUGAGACACGGCCCAGACUCCUACGGGAGGCAGCAGUGGGGAAUAUUGCGCAAUGGGCGGAAGCCUGACGCAGCGACGCCGCGUGGGGAUGAC